Molecule: ribosomal RNA, 429 nt
Filed under: Gemmatimonadota bacterium
Lineage: Bacteria; Pseudomonadati; Gemmatimonadota
Description: Gemmatimonadetes bacterium partial 16S ribosomal RNA
Rfam family: Bacterial small subunit ribosomal RNA
Source: RNAcentral
UAGGGAAUCUUCGGCAAUGGACGAAAGUCUGCCCGAGCAACCCCGCGGGAGUGAAGAAGGUUUCCGGAUCGUAAAACUCUGUUGUUAGAGAAGAACAAGGACGUUAGUAACUGAACGUCCCCUGACGGUAUCUAACCAGAAAGCCACGGCUAACUACGUGCCAGCAGCCGCGGUAAUACGUAGGUGGCAAGCGUUGUCCGGACUUAUUGGGCGUAAAGCGAGCGCAGGCGGUUUCUUAAGUCUGAUGUGAAAGCCCCCGGCUCAACCGGGGAGGGUCAGUGGAAACUGGGAUACUUGAGUGCAGAAGAGGAGGGUGGAAUUCCAUGUGUAGCGGUGAAAUGCGUAGAUAUAUGGAGGAACACCAGUGGCGAAGGCGGCUCACUGGUCUGUAACUGACGCUGAGGCUCGAAAGCGUGGGGAGCAAACAGG